GACGUAGGUGGCGAACGUUAUCCGGAAUUAUUGGGCGUAAAGGGUGCGUAGGUGGCCUGGCAAGUUAUCAGUGGCAAAUCGAGGCUCAACCUCGUGGAAACUGGUAAUACUGUCUGGCUUGAGUACAGGAGAGGUUAACGGAACUCUAUGUGGAGCGGUAAAAUGCACAGAUAUAUAGAAGAACAUCAAUAAAGGCGAAGGCAGUUAACUAUUCUGUUACUGACACUGAGGCACGAAAGCGUGGGGAGCAAAACGG
RNAcentral lists this ribosomal RNA (256 nucleotides) under uncultured bacterium. Its description in RNAcentral is "partial 16S ribosomal RNA". It matches the Rfam family "Bacterial small subunit ribosomal RNA", at positions 524 to 776 of the family's 1533-position model. The record is from RNAcentral.